GAUUCUCACUCCAUUUUUGCUCUAUAUAUGUGCUACUUAUCAUAAGUUCAUAACACUGAAGAAAACACAAAACGAAAAUGAAAAAUUUAUGUCAUGCAACAAGGAAAAGAAGAUCCAUCAGAAGUUCACUAAAGCUUGCCUUGACUGAAACGGCAUAUAUUCAUCAUUAGGAGCUAAUAACGAAAGUGUUUCUCAUCAUCAUGGAAUUUCAGUUUGACCGCUCCUGAUGAACACGUGUCAAUAUAUAUGCAGACUCUUGCAAAGAAAAUAAAUAACAGAAUCGUAGAGACUACAGAAUCUGCACCAGAGAAAUUGAAAUUUAUACCACAAAAUUCCAUAUUCGAAGAGAGUGCACGCAUGAUAGAUGCAUCCAUGCAUGCAUGGCGGCGGUGUGGUUGAUUGCUUGCUGCAUGGGAAUCUAAUAAUGGGACCCUAGCUCCCAGCAUCUUUGAUAUAUCGAAGAGAUGCUUGGUGAGAGAUGCAAGAGCAGCAGGAGGAGGAAGAAGAGCAGCAGGGAGGCUAGCCUAGCGCCAUUGUUGGUGCAGGUCCCUAUCCAAGCUUUUUCCUUGCGUGUGCUGCCACCUUUCCAUAUCCCUCUAAUCGUGUCAGAUUCCAAACCCCAUCGUCGCAAACUAAUAAC
This 640-nucleotide long non-coding RNA is filed under the name Sorghum bicolor (sorghum). RNAcentral describes it as "long non-coding RNA (SBIC_LNC015293)". The record is from RNAcentral. Lineage: Eukaryota; Viridiplantae; Streptophyta; Magnoliopsida; Poales; Poaceae.